Molecule: ribosomal RNA, 497 nt
Filed under: uncultured bacterium
Lineage: Bacteria
Description: partial 16S ribosomal RNA
Rfam family: Bacterial small subunit ribosomal RNA
Source: RNAcentral
GAUGAACGCUGGCGGCGUGCCUAAUACAUGCAAGUCGAGCGAACAGACGAGGAGCUUGCUCCUCUGACGUUAGCGGCGGACGGGUGAGUAACACGUGGAUAACCUACCUAUAAGACUGGAAUAACUUCGGGAAACCGGAGCUAAUACCGGAUAAUAUAUUGAACCGCAUGGUUCAAUAGUGAAAGACGGUUUUGCUGUCACUUAUAGAUGGAUCCGCGCCGCAUUAGCUAGUUGGUAAGGUAACGGCUUACCAAGGCAACGAUGCGUAGCCGACCUGAGAGGGUGAUCGGCCACACUGGAACUGAGACACGGUCCAGACUCCUGCGGGAGGCAGCAGUAGGGAAUCUUCCGCAAUGGGCGAAAGCUUGACGGAGCAACGCCGCGUGAGUGAUGAAGGUCUUCGGAUCGUAAAACUCUGUUAUUAGGGAAGAACAAAUGUGUAAGUAACUAUGUACGUCUUGACGGUACCUAAUCAGAAAGCCACGGCUAACUACGUG